This 1480-nucleotide long non-coding RNA is filed under the name Glycine max (soybean). RNAcentral describes it as "long non-coding RNA (GMAX_LNC003797)". Lineage: Eukaryota; Viridiplantae; Streptophyta; Magnoliopsida; Fabales; Fabaceae. The record is from RNAcentral.
AAUGAACAAAGUUACACCCCUAAUAUUUCCCAAUUCCAGUGAUCACUCCCCAUGCCAUUUAAUUACAUUGGCCCUCAUGGAUGCCUUUUACAGUCUCCUCCACUAAUCAUCAUAUGGCAUCUCACCAGCAGAAAGGAAAAUCUAUUGUCUGGCUACGACAACUGCUGGCCCUUCCACCUGAUAUAUCAUCCCACCAAUUUGAUAGUCAGUAAAAGUAAUUGGAAAUCAAGUUCAAUAAUGGAGAGCUGACUACACUAGAUUAUGCAUGCAAGAAAUGUUGGAAACCAACUGGUAUUAAAAUUAACCAGAAAUUAAUUAAAUUAAAUAGACAAUAGCAGGGCUUCCUAUAUGUAAAUAAAGGACAUUAACUGAGCACGAGGAUGAAUCCCUGAGAUUAUUACCCAAAUGAAAUUUAAUUACAAUCUUGGUGGCAUCCUAUUUGACUCUAGUUUUAAGAUCUAGCAGUACCUUCAAAAGAUAUUCUAUAGGACAACUACCAUUUAGAUCAGUGAAAUUUUGUUCAAAUGAGUUCUCAGGUUACUGGAAGAGACUUUGAGAAUUUAUCAACACUCGUUCCUAACUUAAUCUUCCCCAAUUUGCAAUACUGGUAGUUCACUAGUUCUAAGCUUUCAGAACAAACCAUGACAUCACAAGAUGGGAAUCCUAGGUUACAUCUGUUUUGUUGUAAUGACCUAUAGAAGCAUGGAGCACUGAAUCAGUAACUGUUUUAUAUAUUAAAUUUCAUUGUUACCUUGAAAGUCGCUCCCCAGAUUUCCUCCUCAUUAGCAGGAACUGCAGUAAUCUUAUUUUUAGGAUUCUCAUAGCACAUCAAUCCUCCAACAGCUGUAGAGUAGAAACAUCCUGUCCAAUUAGAGAGCAAAAAUGUCAACAAUGAUUUAGGAGAAAAGAAACAAAACUGAGACGAUGUUAUUGUAAAAUCUUAUUCUGCCCUAUACAACCCGCAGCACAUAUUAUAUGGUUCAUUUCCCCCUCUUGUAUUCUAAACCUUGUCAUACUAUUUCCAUCUUGGAAAGUUAAAUGAUCCGGUCUGAAUCACUAUAAGCACUAUUGGGAAUUGUAAUAUAAUAAACACAUGAUAUAGAAGUUAACCCACCUUGAGGGAAAGAAGCAAGUGACUUGCCACAAGCACCUUUAAGCAAUUCUGCAUCAUCGGCAAAUGCUACGUAGCCAUCAGCAGUAAUUCCCCAAUAUAGAGGUACCUUACCAUAUUGAUCCUGUCAAAAGUAAUACAAAGCAAAAUGAGCAAGAAAUGAAAGCUUAUGGUGGUGGAUCAUGACAAUUAGUAGGUUGGACUACGAUGACUUACAGAGGCCACAAAGAGGGUAGAAGUAGAUUUGUCAAAAACUAUGAAAGCAAAGCUCCCACUGAGAUGGCCAACAACGUGAUUAGCAGGGUAGGGUGCUCUGUCACGCAAUGCUUUGUAAGCCUCAAUGACCAACAAUACUUCAUUGGUUGACUU